This 28-nucleotide small RNA is filed under the name Bombyx mori (domestic silkworm). RNAcentral describes it as "ovarian small RNA-36417". Lineage: Eukaryota; Metazoa; Arthropoda; Insecta; Lepidoptera; Bombycidae. The record is from RNAcentral.
UUACAAUGACAAGGUAAGCCGACAGUGU